Molecule: long non-coding RNA, 236 nt
Filed under: Rattus norvegicus (Norway rat)
Lineage: Eukaryota; Metazoa; Chordata; Mammalia; Rodentia; Muridae
Description: long non-coding RNA NONRATT022905
Source: RNAcentral
GCGAAAACACCUCUACAGAAGCUUAACCAUGCUGAAAUGACGGAGGGACUUUAAAGCCAUGAAGAGGUAAACAGAAAGUCAGGAUGUCCGUACUGUAGAGUACUGUGUGACCGCAUGAGGCAACGUGGAUGAACCUCAGAGCCAUGGUGCAGGCUACACAUGUCAGGCUCUGUCACUGUCCACUUUCCCAGAUGAGUGUUACAGUGUGUGACCCUAAUAAACUUGUUACGUACAAA